AUUGAAAGCUGGCGCCUUCGGCGUCCGCAUUGUAAUCUCAAGAAGUGUUUUCCGCUUCGGACCAUGCCUAAGUCCCUUGGAAAAGGGCAUCAUAGAGGGUGAUAAUCCCGUACAUGGCAUGGAGCGCCCGAAGCUUUGUGAUACGCUUUCUAAGAGUCGAGUUGUUUGGGAAUGCAGCUCAAAAUGGGUGGUAAAUGCCAUCUAAGGCUAAAUAUUGGGGAGAGACCGAUAGCGAACAAGUACAGUGAUGGAAAGAUGAAAAGAACUUUGAAAAGAGAGUUAAACAGUACGUGAAAUUGCCAAAAGGGAAGGGUAGGAGGUCAGAGAUGCGUCGCAGGAUUCAGCCUUGCUUUUGCUUGGUGUUUUUCCUGCGUUGCAGGCCAACGUCGGUUUUGGGCACUGGAGAAGGGUAGGAGGAACGUGGCACCUCUCGGGGUGUGUUAUAGCCUCCUACUGGAUACAGCGACCGAGACCGAGGAACGCAGCGUACUCGUAAGAGCGGGCCUUUUGGCACCUUUACGCUUAGGGCGUUGGCAUAAUGGCCCUCUACCACCCGUCUU
This 560-nucleotide ribosomal RNA is filed under the name Pseudozyma hubeiensis. Its description in RNAcentral is "partial large subunit ribosomal RNA". It matches the Rfam family "Eukaryotic large subunit ribosomal RNA", at positions 114 to 655 of the family's 3401-position model. Lineage: Eukaryota; Fungi; Basidiomycota; Ustilaginomycetes; Ustilaginales; Ustilaginaceae. The record is from RNAcentral.